This is a long non-coding RNA of Cheilinus undulatus (humphead wrasse), 568 nucleotides long. RefSeq lists it as uncharacterized. Lineage: Eukaryota; Metazoa; Chordata; Actinopteri; Labriformes; Labridae. The transcript is spliced from 3 exons. The record is from RefSeq and is a predicted model, not a curated record.
UCUACAACACACUUUCAGAAACGUUUCAAACGUGUGUUAUGAGGAGGAAAAUACAUGAUAAGACUGUCCGUCUUUACUGAAGACGUAGCCCUCCUCCGUUUUUGUUUACAAGUAGGUACCUAACUUUGACAAGCAAACAUGGCGCCGUCAAUCAGCCGUUAAAAGGUGACAAAAUAAACUGCCAACAAUGGCGAACGCAGAUGGAAAAAGUGACCAUUACGACGAUGGAGGAUUGGCUUAAAAACUCUUGCUGACUUCUUCGAGUUUCAUAGUAAGAAACAACAGUCACAAAAGUGUUCAAAAGCUUGAUUUGGGAUUGAAAUUGAGGAUUGAAGUUGAUGCCGAAUCAUUGGACCGUUACCCCUGACCAUCCUGAAAGGAGACUCUCUGUCUGGAGGGGGCCGCCUCAGGGGACAAGACGUGACGUAGAAAAUAGAAGCAGAAGAGACAGAAGAAGAAGAUAUACCUAAUUAAUCCCUCAAGCCAUCCCAGGGUUGACGGUUUAUUUGGACACUGUGGACAGUGGAAAUGGAAAAAUACAGAGACAGAGUGGACUAGCAUGUACGUA